GAUGAACGCUGGCGGCGUGCCUAAUACAUGCAAGUCGAGCGAACAGAUAAGGAGCUUGCUCCUUUGACGUUAGCGGCGGACGGGUGAGUAACACGUGGGUAACCUACCUAUAAGACUGGAAUAACUCCGGGAAACCGGGGCUAAUGCCGGAUAACAUUUAGAACCGCAUGGUUCUAAAGUGAAAGAUGGUUUUGCUAUCACUUAUAGAUGGACCCGCGCCGUAUUAGCUAGUUGGUAAGGUAACGGCUUACCAAGGCAACGAUACGUAGCCGACCUGAGAGGGUGAUCGGCCACACUGGUACUGAGACACGGUCCAGACUCCUACGGGAGGCAGCAGUAGGGAAUCUUCCGCAAUGGGCGAAAGCCUGACGGAGCAACGCCGCGUGAGUGAUGAAGGUCUUCGGAUCGUAAAACUCUGUUAUUAGGGAAGAACAAAUGUGUAAGUAACUGUGCACGUCUUGACGGUACCUAAUCAGAAAGCCACGGCUAACUACGUG
RNAcentral lists this ribosomal RNA (497 nucleotides) under uncultured bacterium. RNAcentral's name for it is "partial 16S ribosomal RNA". It matches the Rfam family "Bacterial small subunit ribosomal RNA", at positions 28 to 507 of the family's 1533-position model. The record is from RNAcentral.